This is an RNA transcript of Carya illinoinensis, 3004 nucleotides long. It is a transcript of the gene named type IV inositol polyphosphate 5-phosphatase 3, with no coding region annotated. Lineage: Eukaryota; Viridiplantae; Streptophyta; Magnoliopsida; Fagales; Juglandaceae. The record is from RefSeq and is a predicted model, not a curated record. The transcript is spliced from 14 exons.
CUCGGUCUGCUUAAUUAUUUCCAGACACCCAAAACCUGAUCAGAAAGACUAGCUACUUUUUACUACUUUUAAUGCAAGAGAUCGAUUAUUCAGAUAUCUAUGCCAAUAGUAGCUAGUUUUGCUAGCCGGGUGUACUGUUCUUGUCCUAUUUUCCUAAAAAAUAGCUGGCGGACUUCCUCAUUGCUUUUCCUACUGAAUGGAAAUCAAGCAAGGUUCCUUUGAAGCAGAUUAUAUAUAUCCAUGUUCGUGCAGAUCUCAGCUUUGAUGCAGGCCGAAGCAGGCCGCUGAAGCUAGCGCGCGCGCACAGAUCAUACAUAAUAUAUAUGCAUAUUCAUGUACUUCGACAAAGAUAUGAAACAACGUUCGAAGCACCAACCAGAGAGAAGUAGAGCUGAAAUAUGUUGUUUGGGUUGGUGGUGCGUACAGCUCUUCUGGCCCAGAGUGGUGAUGCGCAAAUGGCUUAACAUCAGCACCAAGGACUCCGAUUUCAGCGCUGACGAGGACGACUUCGAUAUAGAUUCCGAUUCCGAUUCCGAUUCGGAGGCUGAAGGAUUUGGUCAACGGGGAAGACAGUCGCGGUUGGUGGGCAACAGAGGGGAUGAUGCUCAGGUUGAUCUUGAAGAUGAUCUUCCAAGGUUAAGAAGAAGAAGAAAAUCAGAAACUUUUAGGGCACAAUAUAUAAACAACGAGGAAGUCAGAAUAUGCGUCGGGACUUGGAAUGUUGGAGGGAAACUUCCACCUGAUGACCUAGAUAUUGAUGAUUGGCUAAAUAACAACGAGCCAGCUGAUAUAUAUGUGCUUGGUCUUCAAGAGAUUGUGCCAUUAAAUGCCGGGAAUAUCUUUGGUGCUGAAGAUAGUCGCCCAGUUCCAAGGUGGGAAAACAUCAUCCGUGAAACACUGAAUCGAAUCCGGCCCAAGGAAACAAAUAUAAAAUCCUUUAGUGAUCCCCCCUCUCCAUCAAAGUAUAAGCCAUCUGAUGAUAUCCCAGAUAUAGAAGAGGAGAUUUUUCUUGAAAGUGAUAGUGAUGUAGGUGAUGAAGUUCACCCAUUGGAUGAAGAAUCCAAUGAUUUUGAUGAAGGUAAGGAUAGAUCAAUCACAGAGCAAACCACAUAUGUGAAUUCUGGAGUUUCAGACUGUCCUGGAAGUGCCAUAUUAGGCUUUCCAGGAGAAGAAGAAUUACAGGGGCAAUUUUCUUCUCCAAAGAGGUUGGAUAGGUUAAAUUGUUUGAGGACAGAACAUUCAGAAAAUGUGGAAACACCAGUUGCUCGACACUCUGGUAAAUUAACCAAAAUUCUCAGUGGAUCAGAAAGGAUUGGUUUGAGCUGGCCAGAGCCUCCUUUAAACUUGCUAUCUCAGCGUGUAUUAGAGAGGCCUAAUUCCUUCAGAUCGGUUAAAUCUUUUAAAGCACCUAAAUCUUUCACGACAUAUAGUUCUUUCAAGUCAACUACAAAUGAAGUGCCUCCACAGAUAGCACUGCUUGCAGAAAUUGACCUCAAAUCUCUCUUGAAGAGGAAGCGAAGAUCACCAUUUGUAAGGAUAGUAAGCAAGCAGAUGGUUGGGAUUUUCCUCACUAUAUGGGUCCGUAGGAGUUUGCGUAGACAUAUUCGGAACUUAAAAGUGUCUACAGUUGGUGUUGGUGUUAUGGGCUACAUUGGUAACAAGGGAUCAAUAUCCGUCAGCAUGUCCAUACAUCAGACCUUUUUUUGUUUUAUAUGUACUCACCUGACAUCGGGUGAAAAAGAUGGAGAUGAACUAAAAAGAAAUACUGAUGUGCAUGAAAUACUUCGGAGAACUCGAUUUCAUUCGGUUUCGGAUAGUGGACUUCCCGGGGGCAUCCAUAAUCAUGAGUAUGCUAUCCAGAUGAAUGCAUCAGUUUCCAUCAAGUCUUUGAAGAAAAAUUUUCAACAUUUUGUAAUGCUUCAGCUUGGACAAGGAGAAUCCACAAAUAUAGGAGACUCGCAAUACAAACCAAUGGACUCAACUACAGCUCAUAGCAAUAUAAGAAUAAUUUGGUUGGGUGAUCUCAAUUACCGUAUAAACUUACCUUAUGAGAAAACACAAGAAUUAAUUUCCAACAAGGAGUGGUCUAAGUUGGUUGAAAAGGACCAGCUUGUACAAGAACUUAAAAAGGGCCGUGCAUUUGAUGGAUGGUCUGAGGGUACUUUAAGAUUCCCGCCUACAUAUAAAUAUGAGAUAAAUUCAGAAAAGUACUAUGGAGAGGAUCCAAAGGCUGGAAGGCGUACACCAGCAUGGUGUGAUCGUGUUCUUUCAUAUGGCAAGGGACUGAAGCUACUAAGUUACAGGAGGACCGAGCUUAAACUUUCAGAUCACCGACCUGUGACUGCCACAUAUAUGGCUGAGGUUGAGGUGUUUUCUCCCAGGAAACUACAGCGGGCACUCACAUUCACUGAUGCAGAGAUCGAAAGGGAAGAUGUAUAGCAAAUAUGGGUAUUGAUGCUGGAAUAAGCAGCUUAAUAUUGGGAGAGGCCUGAUUCUGGUGCGUUUCAUUUGGUGAUCUGAUGGGUUUGGUCAUGCUAUGGCAAGAUUGGUCAUCUUAUGUGUAAGCUGAGACCAGAACUAAGCUUGAAAAUGAGAUUGAGCCAUAUUCUAGUUCUCCAUAGCUAAGGAAAUACAUGAUUAGAGCAUUAAGGGAGGAUUUCUUAACACUUGAGUGGCUUUGGGUGAGAGAUCCGCCAACUUGGGAAAUUCUCAAUAGCAUUACUACAUUUCACGUGCAUUCUUUCAAUUUCAUUUAUUGGUCAUUGAUAUUGUAUAUUCCAGUUAGUGUGUAAAGGUCUUAGCUAUAGGAGUUUUACCAAUAGGUCUCAUAGAGCAUAUCAGUUCUGAAGGCAGGUUCACACAAGUGGAUUACUGUAAGUAGUGUGUAUUGGAGAUCACAGCUACGAGUGGAAAGUUUUCUCUAGUUGCUUAGAAAGUAUGCCUUGUAAAAGACGUUUGAUGCAUAUUCUCAUUAGAUAUUGCUGCCAUAUGCAGAUUUGUGCUA